GUGAUGAAGGCCUUGCGGGUUGUAAAGUACUUUUGGCAGAGAAGAAAGGUACCUGCUAAUACGGGAGGCUGCUGACGGUAUCUGCUUAACAAGGCCCAGCAAAGUUCAUGCCCUGCUCCGCGGUGAUACCUAAGGGGCAGGCGUUGAUCGGAAUUACUGGGGGUAAAACGUGUGUAGGCGGUUCGGAAAGAAUGAUGUGAAAUCCCAGGGCUCAACCUUGGAACUGCAUUUUUAACUGCCGAGCUUGAGUAUGUCAGAGGGGGGUAGAAUUCCACGUGUAGCAGUGAAAUGCGUAGAAUUUGGAGGAAUACCGAUGGCGAAAGCCGCCCCCUGGGAUGAUACUGACGCUUAGACGCGAAAGCGUGGGGAGCAAACAGGAUUAGAUACCCUGGUAGUCCACGCCCUAAACCAUUUCUGCUAGCUGUUGGGGGCGUUAGGCCUUAUUAUCGCAGCUUACGCGUGAAGUUGACCGCCUGGGGAGUACGGUCGCACGAUGAUUACUCUCAGGAGUUGACGGGGACCCGCACAAGCGGUGGAGGAUGUGGAUUAUUUCUAUGCACGCGGAAAAACUCACCUACCCUUGACAUGUCUCGAUAGCCAAAGAGAUAUGGGCGUGCUCGCUUGAGAGACCGAUCACACGUGCUGCAUGGUUUUUUCGACAA
Molecule: ribosomal RNA, 662 nt
Filed under: Alcaligenes faecalis
Lineage: Bacteria; Pseudomonadati; Pseudomonadota; Betaproteobacteria; Burkholderiales; Alcaligenaceae
Description: bacterial SSU rRNA
Rfam family: Bacterial small subunit ribosomal RNA
Source: RNAcentral